RNAcentral lists this ribosomal RNA (439 nucleotides) under uncultured bacterium. RNAcentral's name for it is "partial 16S ribosomal RNA". It matches the Rfam family "Bacterial small subunit ribosomal RNA", at positions 338 to 795 of the family's 1533-position model. The record is from RNAcentral.
CCUACGGGAGGCAGCAGUGGGGAAUAUUGCACAAUGGGCGAAACCCUGAUGCAGCGAUGCCGCGUGAAUGAAGACGGCCUUCGGGUUGUAAAGUUCUGUCGCAGGGGACGAAAAUGACGGUACCCUGCAAGAAAGCUCCGGCUAACUACGUCCCAGCAGCCGCGGUACUACGUAGGGAGCAAGGUUUGUCCGGAAUUACGGGGUGUAAAGGAAGCGUAGGGGGGAGGAUAAGUUGAAUGUGAAAUCUAUGGGCUCAACCCAUAGCUGCGUCAAAAACUGUUCUUCUUGAGUGAAGUAGAGGCAGGCGGAAUUCCUGGUGUAGCGGUGAAAUGCGUAGAUAUUAGGAGGAACACCAGUGGCGAAGGCGGCCUGCUGGGCUUCUACUGACGCUGAGGCUCGAAAGCGUGGGUAGCAAACAGGAUUAGAUACCCGUGUAGUC